GAUGAACGCUGGCGGCGUGCUUAAUACAUGCAAGUCGAACGAGGAGCUUUUGUCUUCGGACGAGAGAUUUCCUAGUGGCGAACGGGUGAGUAACGCGUUGGUGACCUGCCCCGAAGAAGGGGAUAACAGUUCGAAAGAGCUGCUAAUACCCUAUGUUAUCAGUUGGAUUAGAUGCCUACUGAUUAAAAGAAGUAAUUCGCUUUGGGAGGGACCUGCGUCCCAUCAGCUAGUUGGUAGGGUAACGGCCUACCAAGGCAAUGACGGGUAGGGGACCUGAGGGGGUGACCCCCCACAAUGGCACUGAAACACGGGCCAUACACCUACGGGUGGCAGCAGUAGGGAAUAUUGGACAAUGGGCGAAAGCCUGAUCCAGCAACGCCGCGUGCACGAUGACGGCCUUCGGGUUGUAAAGUGCUUUUAGAGGAGAUGAGAAAGGACAGUAUCCUCUGAAUAAGCCUCGGCGAACUACGUGCCAGCAGCCGCGGUAAAACGUAGGAGGCAAGCGUUAUCCGGAUUUAUUGGGCGUAAAGCGCGUGCAGGCGGUUUAACAAGUUGGAUGUGAAAGCUCCUGGCUUAACUGGGAGAGGUCGUUCAAUACUGUUAGACUAGAGAAUGGGAGAGGGAGGUGGAGUUCCGGGUGUAGUGGUGAAAUGCGUAGAUAUCCGGAGGAACACCAGUGGCGAAAGCGGCCUCCUAGACCAUUUCUGACGCUAAGACGCGAAAGCUAGGGUAGCAAACGGGAUUAGAGACCCCGGUAGUCCUAGCUGUAAACGAUGUAGACUUGGCGUUGGCGGAGUUAAAUCUGCCAGUGCCGUAGCUAACGCGAUAAGUCUACCGCCUGGGGACUACGAUCGCAAGAUUA
Molecule: ribosomal RNA, 862 nt
Filed under: uncultured Chloroflexota bacterium
Lineage: Bacteria; Bacillati; Chloroflexota
Description: bacterial SSU rRNA
Rfam family: Bacterial small subunit ribosomal RNA
Source: RNAcentral